AGCGUUAUCCGGAUUUAUUGGGUUUAAAGGGUCCGCAGGCGGGCUAGUAAGUCAGUGGUGAAAGCCUACAGCUUAACUGUAGAACUGCCGUUGAUACUGCUAGUCUUGAGUAUAGUUGAGGUAGCUGGAAUGAGUAGUGUAGCGGUGAAAUGCAUAGAUAUUACUCAGAACACCGAUUGCGAAGGCGGGUUACCAAGUUAUAACUGACGCUGAGGGACGAAAGCGUGGGGAGCGAACAGGAUUAGAUACCCUGGUAGUCCACGCCGUAAACGAUGCUAACUCGUUUUUGGGCUUUAGGGUUCAGAGACUAAGCGAAAGUGAUAAGUUAGCCACCUGGGGAGUACGACCGCAAGGUUGAAACUCAAAGGAAUUGACGGGGGCCCGCACAAGCGGUGGAUCAUGUGGUUUAAUUCGAUGAUACGCGAGGAACCUUACCAAGGCUUAAAUGGGAAUUGACAGCUGUAGAAAUACGGUUUUCUUCGGACAAUUUUCAAGGUGCUGCAUGGUUGUCGUCAGCUCGUGCCGUGAGGUGUUAGGUUAAGUCCUGCAACGAGCGCAACCCCUGUCACUAGUUGCCAUCAUUAAGUUGGGGACUCUAGUGAGACUGCCUACGCAAGUAGAGAGGAAGGUGGGGAUGACGUCAAAUCAUCACGGCCCUUACGCCUUGGGCCACACACGUGAUACAAUGGCCGGUACAGAGGGCAGCUACACUGCGAAGUGAUGCAAAUCUCGAAAGCCGGUCUCAGUUCGGAUUGGAGUCUGCAACUCGACUCUAUGAAGCUGGAAUCGCUAGUAAUCGCGCAUCAGCCAUGGCGCGGUGAAUACGUUCCCGGGCCUUGUACACACCGCCCGUCAAGCCAUGGAAGCUGGGGGUACCUGAAGUCGGUGACCGUAAAAGGAGCUGCCUAGGGUAAAACUAGUAACUAGGGCUAAGUCGUAACAAGGUAGCCGUACCGGAAGGUGCGGCUGGAACAUCUCAUUU
Molecule: ribosomal RNA, 982 nt
Filed under: Riemerella anatipestifer
Lineage: Bacteria; Pseudomonadati; Bacteroidota; Flavobacteriia; Flavobacteriales; Weeksellaceae
Description: bacterial SSU rRNA
Rfam family: Bacterial small subunit ribosomal RNA
Source: RNAcentral